GUACGGGGAAACCUGAUGCAGCCAUGCCGCGUGUGUGAAGAAGGCCGUUCGGGUGUAAAGCACUUUCAGUAGGGAGGAAGGUAGUGUAGUUAACACCUGCAUUAUUUGACGUUACCUACAGAAGAAGCACCGGCUAACUCCGUGCCAGCAGCCGCGGUAAUACGGAGGGUGCGAGCGUUAAUCGGAAUUACUGGGCGUAAAGCGCAUGCAGGCGGCCUGUUAAGUCAGAUGUGAAAGCCCGGGGCUUAACCUCGGAAUUGCAUUUGAAACUGGCAGGCUAGAGUCUUGUAGAGGGGGGUAGGAAUUUCAGGUGUAGCGGUGAAAUGCGUAGAGAUCUGAAGGAAUACCAGUGGCGAAGGCGGCCCCCUGGACAAAGACUGACGCUCAGAUGCGAAAGCGUGGGGAGCAAACAGGAUUAGAUACCCUGGUAG
Molecule: ribosomal RNA, 431 nt
Filed under: uncultured bacterium
Lineage: Bacteria
Description: bacterial SSU rRNA
Rfam family: Bacterial small subunit ribosomal RNA
Source: RNAcentral